This 453-nucleotide ribosomal RNA is filed under the name uncultured bacterium. RNAcentral's name for it is "bacterial SSU rRNA". It matches the Rfam family "Bacterial small subunit ribosomal RNA", at positions 340 to 786 of the family's 1533-position model. The record is from RNAcentral.
UACGGAAGGCAGCAGUGGGGAAUAUUGCACAAUGGGCGCAAGCCUGAUGCAGCCAUGCCGCGUGUAUGAAGAAGGCCUUCGGGUUGUAAAGUACUUUCAGCGGGGAGGAAGGCGAUGCGGUUAAUAACCGCGUCGAUUGACGUUACCCGCAGAAGAAGCACCGGCUAACUCCGUGCCAGCAGCCGCGGUAAUACGGAGGGUGCAAGCGUUAAUCGGAAUUACUGGGCGUAAAGCGCACGCAGGCGGUCUGUUAAGUCAGAUGUGAAAUCCCCGGGCUUAACCUGGGAACUGCAUUUUGAAACUGGCAGGCUUGAGUCUUGUAGAGGGGGUAGAAUUCCAGGUGUAGCGGUGAAAUGCGUAGAGAUCUGGAGGAAUACCGGUGGCGAAGGCGGCCCCUGGACAAAGCUGACGCUCAGGUGCGAAAGCGUGGGGAGCAAACAGGAUUAGGAUACC